CGAAGUUGGGCGUGUUUAUAUAUUAGUUGGAAACCGAGGUAAUUAAUAGGCAAUAGACUGCUUUGUCCUCUACGAAUUUCCUCCGUGUAGCCUACCAGAAAGGACGACUUUCAGCUGAGACACGUUUAAAAAAGCCUCCUAUACAAAUCAGCUGUCCGCUCCUUACAGCAUGAAGAAUCCAGGAACUCUCACAGCCGAGAAACGUAGGCCUAAAUCUCCCAACAGGAACGAAGUCCAAUAUAACGGCCUGAGAAAUCAAGGUGCCACCUGCUACUUAAAUGCAGUAUUGCAAUGUCUAUUCAUGACCCCAAAAUUCAGAGAAGCAGUGGUGAGGUAUGAAGCCCCUGGAGAUUGUGGUGAGGAAAAUCUCUUGCUACAACUUAAGAAUCUGUUUGAACAGCUGUCAGAAAAAACAGCCACAACUGAAGGAAUAACCAAGAGUC
Sinocyclocheilus grahami is the source of this 443-nucleotide long non-coding RNA. The record is from Ensembl. Lineage: Eukaryota; Metazoa; Chordata; Actinopteri; Cypriniformes; Cyprinidae.